UCGAGUUUGAGAGUAAUUAUCUUUCAGAAUAGAACAUAUUAUGUAAAGCCCAAAGGUAAAAAAAAAGAAAAUGUAUAUUUUACAUUUUUUUAUAUAUUUUUAUAUAUUUUUUUUUAUUUUAUUAAUUUAAAUAAAAAGAAAAGAAAAAGAAAAUCCUUAUUUAUAUAUAUUUUUUUCUUUUCUUUUUCUUUUUUUUUCUCUCUUCUUCUUCCUCCGUGCGUCGCGUAACUUUCCGUCCAGAUCUGCGUCACCGUGCCCGGUCCUCGCCGCCGCUCGUGCUUCACCCUUGCAGUUCGCAGUAGCUCAGAUCCGUCGCUGCAACCGUCGGCCGGUUCGUGAAGCCCUGCCGCGCAACCUCUGUUUCCAGCCGCCGCCCAUUCCGUUCUCCUCUGUUUUCUGUACUGCUGCGCGACUCUCCGACCGCGUCUGUCUUCACCUCCGUGAAGUCGUCGACACAUACAUCUUGUGAAGCCCGGUCGCCGCGUCAGAUCGUCGAUCGAUUUUGAGGCAGCCGCCACGUUCCCUUUGGCCGACCGCUGACCGACCCACACUUAGGAUUUUGCUGCGAGUUCGACAGUCGUGCGUUGAGGUGUUGGGAGUAACGUUAGGCUCCCUUACAUUCACAACCAGUUUGUGAGUUGUUGAGGGUUCAGUUCGCCAAUAUAUCGGUGAGUUGGAACUUACGUUGAGGAAAGUAAGUGAGAUAUGUAUCGUGAAAGUAAUUGAAUUUUGUGUUUGUUGUGCUUAGGAUUGUUUCGAGGACGUUAGUUGAUUAAGGAGCUUCCCCAACUUUGAGGUAAGGGAUUUUCUACUGGACCCAAUUGUGAUUGUGAACUGUGAUUGUGAACUGUAUGUGUGUUGAAUGUAUACUGGGGUUGACUGAAAAUAUAUAUGAAUGUAUGUGAAUUGAAGUAGACUUGACGUCGAAUGUAUGUCGUGAUUGUCCUGGAAUCUAUAUAUAAAUGUGUGUAUGUGGACAGGACGGAAAUUGUAGAUUGUGCUUGUAUGAGAUGCAGAUGUGAACUUGUGAUUGUCGUUUAGAUUGGGUGUACGUUACGCUAAAGUAUGACUGUGAGCUGGUGAACUGAGGGGUGUAUUGACUGUAUAGUUGAUUGACUGACGUAUUAGUAUAUUAUUGACAGACAUAUGACUAAAGUGAGAUAAGUUGACUGUUAGGACGUUGAGAGAAAGAACUUUAUGUUUUGAAGUAACUGAAAGAUGGAUUGAAUGGAAUGAGGGGGUAAAUUGUUAGAUUGUAUUGGGAUGUUUACCUUGUAGGUGUCCCACGGGAUCACCAAUUUAUUGUGCACCUUCGGGAGCAUUUGACUGAUAUGUGUUUCUGCAGAACACUAGACUGAUAUGUACGUCCCUCGGGGCGUUAGACUGAUAUGUACGUCCCUCGGGGCGUUAGACUGAGAUGUGUAUCCUACGGGAUCACAAGACUGCGACUGUACAAGGUGUCCCAAUAGAACUUUAACAAUUUAUUUUCCCCUGACGAGACCAGUAGAGGGUCUCUUACUGGGUAUUGUUAUACUCACCCUUCUUAUGUUUAAUUUUCAGGCAAAGGAAAUAAAGGUGGCAAACCGGCGAGGGGCAGGAAGGAAGCGUGAUUGCCAUAGGAAAUGUGUCAUUUUGCUUCCGCUUAUGGUUUCUUUUGAGGUUUAAGAUGUACUAAAACUUAGUUUACAAACUUUUAUUUGUAAAUAUUGUUAUUUUUAAGUUUUCUGGAAUAUUUGAAAAUCAGGCAUGACUUAAAGUUGUUUUUCAAUUGGCUUACAUUUCAUUUUGUAUCAACCAAAGUCUUUUGUCAAAAAUUAACGACCUCGACUUACCUAGAAAAGUUGGGUCGUUACAUAUUACCUUUCUUCUAGAAGUAGCACCGUGUUCAGAAGAUCAACAAACAAAUUAAAACUUUGUGAAUGUAUCGAACUUUCUUCAAUGAUUUUGAAAAUAGAGAGAAAUAUUUUUUGGAGAAGGUAGAAGUAUAGAACACUAAAACCAAAUUUGCUUUUCAAAUUUAGAGAAAGAGCACUUAUUUAAAGACUUAUUCAUGGUUAUUGAAUAGUCUUGUCCUUUCUCUAGAUUAGUUAUUCUCAUGAAUGGAAGAAAGACACCGUUUAUUCCUACAGGUUAAUUGUGAUUUUUGAAAUGAUUAAAAUGCUAAUAUUCAUUUUGUUUUUCAUAUUCGUGAGUCUCAUAGUUUGAAUGGACCUUCCAAUGACACUGUGCAUUUAUAGAGACCAACUAAAUAAACGGUGGAUGGUUAGAAAGAAUUAUCUUAAUACUAUAUUAAAGAAAUUAUUUUUUACUUCAAAAUAUUUAUAUAUAAGGAUUCAAAAAAGUAUGUACUUUUUUAAUGAGUUAUUGGGAUAAAAGGAUUAGAUAGAGAUGGUUGAAUCAAAUUUUGACAUACGAAUAUAUUAAGAACUUGUAGAGUAAUCAACACAAAGAAUUAUAUGGUUCACUGACCGUAAAUUGGCUACGUCUAACCUAUUUGAGAUUAAAUAAACAUAUAAUAAUUUUAAAUAAUAAUUAGCAAUUUCUCACGUGUGUAUAUAUACGUUAGCAUCACAUAUAAUCAUAUUAAAUGUUUAAAACAAAAUGUUCACAACUUUUUUUAGUUGCAAGGUUAAAGCAUAUAUUCUUAAAAAAAGUAAUGGUAAAAUUCUACAAAAAAAAAAAAAAAAGUUUAUUCACUUAUUCGUAUUUUUAUGGAUUAUAGAUUUUUUUUACAUAAGUUGCACGUGGAUGUAUGUUAUCUUUAAAAAUUAAUUUAUAGUAGUAUUUGACUAAUAAUUAUAUUUUUGUAUUUUUAUAAAAUUUCUAUACAAUUUCAUAAUUGAUUAAGAGUGAGUUAGCUCUCAACCUAUUUUAUUUUAGAAUUAAUAAUAAUUAAUAGUAGAGAUGUUUUAAAAUUAAUUUCUAUAAAAUAGCAAAUACAACCUUUUAUGUUCAUAAAAUAGCAAAAACUCUUUCACUUUUAUUUAUUUAGUUAAUCUCUUUAUUUCAAGUUUAGUUAGGAAUGAAAAAUGUGAUAAUAUUUAAUUUACCUUUUCAAAAAAUUAAUAUUAUAUUUUUAAAUUAUAGAAUACUUUUGAAUUAUAUUAUAUUAUUGACGAUUGUUGAAAGAAAUAGAAGUUAUAAAGAAAAAGAGAGUCGAAUAGUAUACACAAACACGAUAUCAAUUACUAUUGAAGAAUUGAUGUAGAAAAUAUUCAUAUAUAUAAUGUUAGUUUUUUAGGAGAUUAAAUAGUUAAUUUAUUGUCUUUUACUAAUCGAGUUUGAAUGUUUGUACAAAUAUCUAUGAGACGUUCAUAGUAACUAUGGAAUAUAAAUGUCAUAUAAUAUUUUUAAACUAAAGAUUUGAAAAUAAGUAUCUAAAAUUAUUGAUUUGAAUUUAGUUUCAUCAUAUUUGAAUUUCCAAUUCUUUUGGGUUUGUGCUUAUUUUUAAAUGUUAAAUAUUUAUCAUUUAAAAUAAUAUUAAAUUUAAAUUUAAAAAAACAUUCUCCGAAUAAAAUGUUAGAAAUUUUAGAGUGUUGGUAUAGAAAAGCACGACAAAGAGAUAUACUAAUUUAAUAUAAAAAACAUAUUGAAAAAUAAUUUUUUAUGUCAUUUUUACUUUCUCAUUUCUGUUAGAAGAAAAAACAUAAAAGUAUAAUAAAAAAUAAUGUGCAGAAAAAAAAACUCGUAUAUAUAACUAAAAAAACAACUAAAGAAAUAUAAAAGAUAAUAUUUACAAAGAAAUGAAAGAAGAUAUUUGUAUAACGAGGUUGAAGAAAUAAUUUUUGUUUUCUUGCAUUUUUGUCUCCACCUAAUUGAUACGUAAUUUUUAAUAUUCACUAUUUAUCUUACACUUAUCUCUCAACUUAACAAUUGCACUUAUCUCUACUUGACAAUGACUCGUUGUUUCAAGGAAAUAGGAGAUAUCAUACAUUUAUAUUGAAUAAAUUGGUAAAAAAUGUGGAUUAGAGAAUUUUAAGAGGCUUUCUUGAACUUGUUAUUGUGCCCAAAAAAACUCUUCUACUACCCAUCGAGUUAAUUAGGGUGAUAAAUAUUUUUUUAAUUAAAUAUUGAAAUUGUUAGAAAAAUGGCAAGAAAUAGUUAAAAUUAACUCACUGUUCAUGCAGUAAAAACAUUUAUAGUCAAAAUGUUAAAUUGAACUAAAAAAAUUUCUCCACACAAUAGAGAUUUUAUGUAUACUAUAUAUAGAUUAAAAAUAGAUUCCAAUGUUUGAAUCCCCUAUAAGUGCAUUCAUCAAAUGUUAUAAUAUUUUUAUUAACUUAUUUAAUUGUAAAUUCUACGGACGAUAUACCAUUUAACUAGAAUAAAUUUACCAACGAUAGAUCAUGCAACACGUAUGAUGUAGAAAUCUACAAGUGAUAUAGUCUACCAUAUACUAAUUUUAUUAUAUUUACAAUUAUUUAUAAAUGUUGCUAACUUAAUUACUAUCCAAACUACGAAAUUAAUGUUUCGUCUAAAUACAUAAAACUAAUUGCAUAAAUGACAUUUAAGUAUAAAAUAGUAGUAUAGAUAGCACGAUGAUAAAAUAAUUAUAUAUAACCCAAAAUUAGUAAAAUACUAAAUAAUUCACGUGUAGGCACCAUUUUGGACACUUCUUUUCGAAUUUCUCAAAUUAAAAGCCUACAACUGAUAAUUGUUAUCAAUUACUAUUAUUGAUAGUUACUAUUAGUGUUAUCUUUUAUUUGUCAUUAUUAAUAGUGCUUCUUUUUUAUUUUCUCAAAUUGAAAGUCGUUAAUAAUAACAAUUGAUAAUUAUUAUAAGUUUUCUACCAUUGACGUUGAUUGUGAUAACUUCUAAACCCUAAACCCUAAACCCUAAACCCUAAACCCUAAACCCAAAGCCCUAUCAAUAAUAUCUAUGAAAAGACAUUGUUGACAUUUUAAAAAACUUCUACCAAUUGGUUGAUCAACAUUUACUAUUUUUGGCAUAAUAUUUUAUAUUUUAGAGUUUAUUUCUAAAUCCUUUUAUUUGCUCUAAUUUUAAAAAAAGAAAAAAGAAAAAUUAAAAGUUUAUUUUGGAUCAAUAACAAAAAUUAAUUUAAAUUGAUAAAAUAUCAAAAUCGAAAAAUAUGGGAAAAUUGUAUUUCAACGAACAUAAGCACAAUUUUUUUACUUAUACCCAAGCAAAUCCAAUAAUAACAGGUAAUACUUGUAAGAAUUAACGAUUUAAUAACAAAAUCCAGUACUUAAAAAUAAUUACUAAGAACUAAGGAAAAUGCUAAAAUGAGAACUUAAUGUUGUAUGUAAUACAAGAAUUACAAUUAUGACCACUUUGAUAACAUCUGCCGUAACAAAUAGUAUAAUUUUUUGUCUUAAAGGCACCCCAAGUGUUUUAACCUGAGGUGGAAUGAGUUCAUUGUUGCCACAUUGAUACAUAUUUAUAAUUUGGUAUACACUACCAAUGAGACGUGUUCCCUUCAUGUACAAGUUUAUCAAGUUUGAAACAUAGUAGAACUUAUCAGUGUACGUGUGCAAAUGAAGAUUCCUUGUAGACAAUGCAAUACAUGCAUGUGAACAAGAGAUCAUAUCAAAGUCUCAUUGAUGACACAAGCAUGUACGGUAUACAAUAUUGACAACAUAUUGUUCCUUACGAUGGUGAACUUCAAAUUCAUGUUGGUUUACAUAAUAUAUUUGCCAAAAUAUUAAAACAAAUUUCAUGUACAAAUAACUGUCUUAAUAGUUAUAAUAUUUACUAUUCAAAUAUCAAUCAACUUACAUUCAUUGAGAGAUUUUCCCCUGCAACUUCUCGAAUCAUAUCUUUUGCAUAUAUUGAGAGUUUUGUGCAUGCAUUGAAAAUUUCAUUUGGUAAGACGUUCGUAUAACCAUUUUUGAACCAAACUACAAAUUGAUUCUAGAAGUCCAAUAAAUAGUUUUCUUCAGUAUUGAUUUACUUUUAAAUAUUAAUCUCACUUGAAUAGGUAUUCCAACAUACGAAUAUUCAAAAAAAAUUAACGUAAAUAAUCUCCGUAUCACGAUGCAAAUCUUGAGAUUUGGGUACUUCAUUGAUCAAAUACGUUGUAGUUCCAGCAUCACAAGUUGAUACAUAGUCAAUAACCACUGGUAAAUCAUUACCAGAAAAUUUUGACAAAACUAACACAAUUAAGUCAAGACACAUCCUUAUCCUCAACAAUCCGAAUAAGGUUCAAAUUGUUGCAAUCAUCCCAAUAAACGGUCAACCGAUGCAUGAAAAAAUCUGUAGGUGGAAAAAAUCUACCUUGGAUACAUUCUACAAAUCCUUGAAACGAAGAUGAAAAUGGAACAUAUACCUCAACAACAUGAUAAUCGAGAUAUUGAAAAGGUUUGAUCCAUCUACCAUCCAAAAUCGUCUUUACUUACUGUAAAGUCAUAACAAAAACUUGUUUGUUAUUAUUCUACUAUUAUAAUCGAAAACGAAUGCUAAAUGAUGUAUUAUAAAUAUUGUAAUUAAUCGACAAAAAAUGUUAAACAAAUAAGAUAAAUUUUAAAAUACAACACUUAAAAUAAUAAAAUCAAGUGACGUGAAUAAUAGUAUUUCAAAAUAUUAUAAAAACAUACAUAUUUUCGAAAUAUUUUUUAAAUAGAUAUAAUGACCAUCAAAAUAUACAUUCUAAAAUAAAAAAAAGAUAUUAAUUAACAUGGUCUCCAUAAUAAAUCAUACUCUAAAUUUUCGAAAUCUAAACUAAAAUAUAUCUUAUGUAUUUCCUUAACAAUAUAAUUCCAAAUUAUUAUUCAAAAUAUAUAUUAUGUAUUAUUUAAUUAUAAAUUACUGAAAUUGUUAAUAAAUAAUUCAUGUUAUACAAACUAAGAAUUUGGAAGAUAUAUUAAGAAAAAAUUGCUUCAAUCUCGUCCAUAAACAAAAUCUCACAUUUAGUUAUAAUUUCAAGAUUAUUUGUAAAAUACAUCCUAUUUUUCAAAUGCGUGAUAGGAAAAGGGAAGAUUAGUAUAUGCCCAUUAGGUACUAAAUUUUCUAAUUUACCAUGAUUUUACAACAAAAACACAAAUUGAUCAAAUUUUACACAAAUGUACUAAAUGAGCCACAAUAUUAUACAAAAAUAUGUCCAAUUUACAUAUAUGCCCAUUAGGUAGUUUUUUCACACAAUAUAUAUUGUAUUAAUAUAGAAAAUGGGAGGAAAUCGUGCAACAUUAAAAUAGGAAAGUUUUUUCACUUUUCAUAUUCAACUAAAUCGUUGCCCUUUCGGCAGUCAAGGAAGUGAUUCGAGUUUUUGGUUUUCGGUCGUGAAGUUGAAAUAAGCAAUUUCGACGGUGAAGAUUUUCUAAAACGGUCGACCAGUUCAUCUGUUUUCCGAUGGCCGAAAGAUACAAUGUUAGGUUGUAUAUAUUCUAUACACAGUUUGCAUUUGGUAUCUUACAUAGAUUAAAAAUUUCAGUCUGAAUAGGCAACAGAAUCAAAAAUGUGAUUUUGUAUGUGUUAUAUCCUAUUGAGGUAUCGGAUCGAAGAGAAGUUUUUUAGGAACGUCGCAUGGGGGUUUUCAUAUGGAUAUUGGGUAUAUCAAAAAUUUUCUUUGGGUAUAUGUUGAAUGUUCUAGUUGUUGAGCAAAUGCAAAAAGGUAAUUAGAACAUUCAACAUAUACCCAAAGAAAAUAUAAAUAAUAUAUUGUAUAUAUCAUAUAAAACAUCAACUAAAAGUAUUAUAUCUCACGGGUAAUAUAUAAAACUAAUAUAAAUGUAAAUAAGAUGUGGUAUAUAUAUAAUAAAUCACAUAUACAAACUAUUACAUAAUGCGAUAAUAUUAUAAAACUAGUAUAAUAAUAAACAAUAUGUGGUAUAUAUUUAUAAAAUCAGAUCAGAAUAACAUUAAAAUGGGGGGUAUAUUGUUAAUAUAUACGCAGAUGAUAUACACAUAAUGAACUAAUCAUGUAGUUUUGUUGUUUAACUAUUUAAUUGUAAAACCCCGAACUUUAAGGUAUUUUACUUUUAAAUUAAAUUGUAUUUUGUUUGAAAUUUUUUUUUAAAGAAAAGAAAUUAGGGGAGAAAAGGAUUGGAAAUGUUAUAAUAAUAAUAUAUAUUUAUUGUUAUUAUUAUAAUAUUAUUAUAAAAGAAAAAGAAAAAGAAAAUUCUCUCUCUCUCUCUCGCGUCUUUGCUCGGGUGUUGAGGGACGUCACCGGCCGUCGAUUGCCAUUAUUCUCCACUGUCUUGUUUUGUUUGGUCUCCGUCAUGCUGCCGGUGGAAGAUCCAAAUUCAUAUCCUUUUGGUUCGCGUGCCAGAUUUGUUAAGCCGACAUUCCUCCAUUCGUUGUAAGUUGGAGCCUGAUCUAUCACCAAUUUUAAUUAUUUAUGGGUUAUGGAUUGUGUGGUGUAUUUUUCUCGGGAAUGCAAUGUUAAAUUAAUAAUCGAUUGGUUCUAUGUGGGUUCUUGAAGGUGUCAUUGUGGACAGUGUUCGAGUUCUUGGAGUUUCGACAGGUUGUUUAGAGCUUAAUUCUCCAAUUUUGUUUGGGUAAGUUCAUGAAAACAAUGGAAUGAUUUGGAUGAGGGAAUGGCUUGGUGAAAGUAUUGAGUUUUUGUCGUUACGUGUAGGUUGGUUUCAUGGGAGAAAUUUAUAUUUAUGUGCAUGGAUUGAUGUGGACUUGUGGUUGAGUGUAUGUUGUGAUUGUCUGGUUAUGUGUGUGUAUAGACAUAAGGAUGAGGAAGCAACUAAAUUUCGUAGAUGUUGCUUAUUUGAAGUGUGGAUUUAACUAUUAGAUUGAUAGUUGUCUGGACUGAAUGUAUGAUGUACUGUUAUAGUUGUGUGUUUGUGAACAGAGGAGACGUCUUAAAUGUGCCCUUGUAGACUUAGGAGGAGGUGUGACUAUUUAGUUUGUUAAAUGAUGUACUGGUAUGUUUCAGACUGACCUUGGCUAAAUUAGUGUAUGACAACUGUUAGGGGUUGAAUAAGGGGUCUAUGUGAGGGAAUUUUUAUAACUGAAUUGUGAACAAUUAUCAAAAUGUUUAGAAUGGCUGAGGGGAAAAUUGUUAGCUUUUAUUGAGAUAUGUGUGUCUUGUAGGUGUCCUACGGGAUCACCAAUUUUUAUGCAUCCUUUGAGAGCAUUAGACUACUAAGUGUUUCUGCAGAACACUAUACUGAAAUGUACGUCCUUCGAGGCGUUAAACUGAAAUGUGUAUCACCCCUACGGGAUCACACGACUGUGACUGUACAUGGUUUUCCAAUAGGACGUUAACAAUUUAUUUUCCCCUAACGGGACCAGCAGUGGGUCCCUUACUAAGUAUUAUUAUACUCACCCCUUUAUGUUUAAUUUUUCAGGUAAAGGUAAUAAAGGUGGCAAACCGGCGAGAG
RNAcentral lists this long non-coding RNA (9290 nucleotides) under Cucumis sativus (cucumber). RNAcentral describes it as "long non-coding RNA (CSAT_LNC001944)". Lineage: Eukaryota; Viridiplantae; Streptophyta; Magnoliopsida; Cucurbitales; Cucurbitaceae. The record is from RNAcentral.